Molecule: non-coding RNA, 90 nt
Filed under: human gut metagenome
Description: NiCo riboswitch
Rfam family: NiCo (Nickel/Cobalt) riboswitch aptamer
Source: RNAcentral
GUACAAACUGAGCAGGCGAUGGACCUUAUGCCGUUGGGUCCGUGGGGCCGGGCCUUUUGGGCAGCAGUUGACGAUCAUCUGCGGGACAGU